CCUCCCACCCGUGUCUAUCGUACCUUGUUGCUUCGGCGGGCCCGCCGUUUCGACGGCCGCCGGGGAGGCCUUGCGCCCCCGGGCCCGCGCCCGCCGAAGACCCCAACAUGAACGCUGUUCUGAAAGUAUGCAGUCUGAGUUGAUUAUCGUAAUCAGUUAAAACUUUCAACAACGGAUCUCUUGGUUCCGGCAUCGAUGAAGAACGCAGCGAAAUGCGAUAAGUAAUGUGAAUUGCAGAAUUCAGUGAAUCAUCGAGUCUUUGAACGCACAUUGCGCCCCCUGGUAUUCCGGGGGGCAUGCCUGUCCGAGCGUCAUUGCUGCCCUCAAGCACGGCUUGUGUGUUGGGCCCCCGUCCCCCUCUCCCGGGGGACGGGCCCGAAAGGCAGCGGCGGCACCGCGUCCGGUCCUCUAGCGUAUGGGGCUUUGUCACCUGCUCUGUAGGCCCGGCCGGCGCCAGCCGACACCCAACUUUAUUUUUCUAAGGUUGACCUCGGAUCAGGUAGGGAUACCCGCUGAACUUAAGCAUAUCAAUAAGCGGAGGAA
RNAcentral lists this ribosomal RNA (543 nucleotides) under Aspergillus fumigatus. RNAcentral describes it as "eukaryotic LSU rRNA". The stretch from base 161 to 314 matches the Rfam family "5.8S ribosomal RNA". The record is from RNAcentral. Lineage: Eukaryota; Fungi; Ascomycota; Eurotiomycetes; Eurotiales; Aspergillaceae.